This 470-nucleotide ribosomal RNA is filed under the name uncultured organism. RNAcentral's name for it is "partial 16S ribosomal RNA". It matches the Rfam family "Bacterial small subunit ribosomal RNA", at positions 334 to 796 of the family's 1533-position model. The record is from RNAcentral.
CACUCCUACGGGAGGCAGCAGUGGGGAAUAUUGCACAAUGGGCGCAAGCCUGAUGCAGCCAUGCCGCGUGUAUGAAGAAGGCCUUCGGGUUGUAAAGUACUUUCAGCGGGGAGGAAGGCGAUAAGGUUAAUAACCUUGUCGAUUGACGUUACCCGCAGAAGAAGCACCGGCUAACUCCGUGCCAGCAGCCGCGGUAAUACGGAGGGUGCAAGCGUUAAUCGGAAUUACUGGGCGUAAAGCGCACGCAGGCGGUCUGUCAAGUCGGAUGUGAAAUCCCCGGGCUCAACCUGGGAACUGCAUUCGAAACUGGCAGGCUAGAGUCUUGUAGAGGGGGGUAGAAUUCCAGGUGUAGCGGUGAAAUGCGUAGAGAUCUGGAGGAAUACCGGUGGCGAAGGCGGCCCCCUGGACAAAGACUGACGCUCAGGUGCGAAAGCGUGGGGAGCAAACAGGAUUAGAUACCCGAGUAGUCC